Molecule: ribosomal RNA, 471 nt
Filed under: uncultured bacterium
Lineage: Bacteria
Description: bacterial SSU rRNA
Rfam family: Bacterial small subunit ribosomal RNA
Source: RNAcentral
GACGAACGCUGGCGGCAUGCCUAAUACAUGCAAGUCGAACGAAUGAAGGAGUGCUUGCACUCCGGAUUUAGUGGCGAACGGGUGAGUAACACGUAGGCAACCUGCCCAAGAGACGGGGACAACAGUUGGAAACGACUGCUAAUACCGGAUAGGAUAUUUCUUUGCAUGAAGAAAUAUUUAAAGAUGUGUAUGCAUCACUCUUGGAUGGGCCUGCGUCGCAUUAGCUAGUUGGUAAGGUAAUGGCUUACCAAGGCGACGAUGCGUAGCCGAGCUGAGAGGCUGAUCGGCCACACUGGAACUGAGACACGGCCCAGACUCCUACGGGAGGCAGCAGUGGGGAAUAUUGCGCAAUGGGGGAAACCCUGACGCAGCAACGCCGCGUGAAGGAAGAAGGCUCUAGGGUUGUAAACUUCUUUGAUCAGGGAAGAAAAAAUGACGGUACCUGAAGAACAAGCCACGGCUAACUACGUG